This 292-nucleotide ribosomal RNA is filed under the name uncultured bacterium. RNAcentral describes it as "partial 16S ribosomal RNA". It matches the Rfam family "Bacterial small subunit ribosomal RNA", at positions 775 to 1067 of the family's 1533-position model. The record is from RNAcentral.
GGAUUAGAUACCCUGGUAGUCCACGCUGUAAACGAUGAUAACUAGUCGUUAGGGGCAUUUGCUCUUAGUGACGAAGCUAACGCGUUAAGUUAUCCGCCUGGGGAGUACGGUCGCAAGAUUAAAACUCAAAGGAAUUGACGGGGACCCGCACAAGCGGUGGAACAUGUGGUUUAAUUCGAUGCAACGCGAAAAACCUUACCUGGUCUUGACAUCCUGUGAAUUUUCUAGAGAUAGAAAAGUGCCUUCGGGAACACAGUGACAGGUGCUGCAUGGCUGUCGUCAGCUCGUGCCG